GCCACGGUGGUCUAGUGUUCAGAACACUAGCCUUGUAAGCCUGGGGUCCCGGGUUCAAUUCCCGGUGGUGCUC
Molecule: non-coding RNA, 73 nt
Organism: Zootermopsis nevadensis
Lineage: Eukaryota; Metazoa; Arthropoda; Insecta; Blattodea; Termopsidae
Source: Rfam